This 5225-nucleotide long non-coding RNA is filed under the name Sus scrofa (pig). RNAcentral's name for it is "lncRNA (ENSSSCG00005011658.1)". Lineage: Eukaryota; Metazoa; Chordata; Mammalia; Artiodactyla; Suidae. The record is from RNAcentral.
AGAGAGUUGAAAUAACCCGAAAGGCACUGAAGCUGAGAAACUGCCCUCUUUAUCCGCACGGCCACAAUUAGUUUUGGAAGCCUGUCCGUGGAGAGACUCAGGGUGUUAAUUUAGAAAGCAACUGUGUUGGAUGCCACUGGUGUGUUGGCCCGUUGGGUACCAUAUCUCUUCCACACCUUGUCCCAGUCCAAGGUGAAGAAAGCUGCAGCUCGCUUGAAGCCAGACUGACAAACGGACCUCCAGAUCUGCACCCUGAAUCCAUGAGGAAGUGGUGGGUGACGUUCUAAAAGGAUUUCUUUUUGGUAAAUAACCUGGGGUGUUGUUGUUGUUGUUGUUGUGUUCUUGUUUUUUUGUUUUGUUUUGUUUUAAGGCCAGAUGGAAGAAAGCAAAUGUUGCCUUUACUUUAGUGUUUUGGAAACCUGGAUCUCAUCAACUUUCUGGUUGGUUUUGGCUGUCAAGGCGCCUUAUGCCAGAGUCACUGCAAGCCAGGUUUCUGAGGUCCCUAUUGACCUGUGUUGGCAGCCUCUUAAAAAUAACUGUCAUUGCAAGUUCAGCUAAAAUAUAUAACGCAACAAAUAAAUACAUAUAAAGUAUAUGAAUAGAAGUAGGAAAGUUGUGGAUUAACAGACCCCAAAGUAUCAGACGUGCCAUGAAAAAUACUAUAAAACACUCUGAGGAAGGUGCUUGCUCAUGUUAUGACUUGUCCAGUAAACGUGGAGGAGCUGACCCACUUCUCAUGGUCCCUCAUUUCCCAUUUCUCCGCCGGAAGGUUCCGAGUAGCCGAUCCCUUUUGCACACACACUUGUCACUGGCUUUUCUCAAGCAGGGCUCGUGGCCGCCGUUCAGCAUCUCGAUAAAAGAAAUUAAGGGCCGCUUUAUCAUGCUCCUUUCUUUUCCUUCUGUGAGUUGUUCUUUAUUGCUUUGGAUGAGAAAUCCUCGAAUAUAGAAUUACAGAACUUUUGCUGGUUUUGAAAAUGAAAAGUGAGAACUAGGAGCAGAAAGGAGAAGGGAAAUGCUUUGGGGGGGAGUCUGAUACAGAUGUGAGCAGGUGUCGGGGGGCUCUCAAGGGGAACUUAGCUCUGCACAGAAUGAGGUCAAGACUCAGUAGUUCUGUGCCUUUGAUGGCUGUGUUGCACCCCAGGUUCCUGGGGACAGUACGGAGAAGAGGGGACAGAUGAUAUGGAGCACUGUUUUCUGGGAGUUGUUGGUUGCACAGGGAGUUCUCAUUUUCAGAUCUUGGCUGUGUUCAGAGGGGAUAAACAUGGUUGCUUUCAUCAUUGAUCUUUUUUUCCCUCCCCGAUUUUCCUUAUCUGCCACGCAUAUAUUUCUUCUGGCAUUGAAGCACACGGUCCUUGAAAUUGCUGACACAUAAUCUCCAUUUCACAUUUCCCUGGCACCGUGGUCUCACUGUAAAUGCUCCGGGUAUGUUCUCGGGAAGUUGCAUAAUUGCAGCAACUCUAGUUCACUGUGCAGUAUGCUUGGUGACUAAUGGCCUAAUCAGGACUUGAAAAAUACAUAAACAGUUCAACAGCAGCCAUUGAUUCACUGAGCUCUUUUCAGCCAGACGAGGGUGAGCUCAUGGGAGCUGGAAGACGGAGGUGUGCGGCGGCGGUGGCGGCGGCGGCAGCAGCGUCUGGGGUGUACUGAAGCCAGAGCGUUCCCGCACAUCCCGCGCAGCCUUGCUCAGCAGCGGCACAUCCUUGUUCAUAUGCAUGAGUCUGGGGUGCCCCAGGCUUGUCCUGAUUGGCUCUUACGCGGGGUUCCUUAAAGUGCGUUUACACGUGUGACACCUUUUUGCCUUUCCUCUAAAUGCUGUUGGCAGUGGCAGCGCUGGAGAGGCAGCUGGUCUCUCGUGUCCCCUGUGGUGUCCCCCUUGAUUCGUAAGGGAGAAUGCCAGCGGAGGCCGUGUAAGCCGGACUGCAGGGCUUACCCCAGUGCACUGUUGAUUGACAGGUUCUGUGGUCCUCGGCGGCACCUUUAUUUCCAAGAUGUACAGCUGAGAUGCACAGAGAUGCAGACUUUCAAAGGGACCGCGUUUCCUCUCAGAGGACCCCCAGGUGUCUGCUUGGAGCCCAGUCCAGUCAAGGAGGAGUUAUAACAGUCAUCGGUGUCGCGCCCCCGCUUCCUUUGGAAUUCGUUAGAUAGCUCCCCAGUUCUACUCCUCGCCCCACCCCCAACCUUUUCCGGAGCAGAAUUUUCUCUUCGCUCCACCUCUAAAUUAAUCUUUCAGGUUGUGGAUGACGUGAUCUCUAGAUGCUCGCCUCUCCUGAUGUCAUAUCUCAAACCAUUCCUCAGGGAGUAAUGAAUGAUGGACAUUUGUGUUUUCUAAAAUAAUCGACUCUUUCCUUAGGCACAUGCUGGUUCAUUCAUAAAAAACAAAAAGAGUCCUUUCACACAUUCCGUGUCCCACAUUCAUGUAAUACUUGCCCGUUUCUCUGGCUGUUUAAGAAUGAAAUGGCCAGCGGGCUUCUUUAUGUAUAAGCGUGAAGAACACUCAUCAGUGUCAUUAGUUUCACGUUAAGUUUUAAGGCACUGGAGGACAGGUACCGGGUUUCCAUGCCUGAUGUCCCUCACUCUCCCUUGGGUGACACCUGACCCUUACCCUGGGCUGCCCUGGGCCCUUCUUCCCUUGAAGGAUCAGAUGAAUGUACUACACGUUGUGAUAUUUUUACCUUCCCGUGUUAGUCCUCCCAGAGGAAUAGAAAAGAAGCUGAAGGAGGUCCUGCUGUGUCUCAGUGGCACCAAAGCCAACUAGUAUCCAUAAGGAUGCAGGUUCGAUCCCUGGCCUCGCUCAGUGAGUUAAGGAUCCAGCGUUGCCACGAGCUUUGGUGUCGGUCAAAGAUGCGGCUCAGAUCUGGUGUUGCUGUGGCUGUGGUGUAGGCCGGGAGCUAGAGCUCCUGUGCAACCCCGAGCCUGGGAACCUCCAUAUGCUGCAGAUGCGGCCGCGGCCCUAAACAAUCAAUUAAUCAAUCUGAAAAGUACAAUAGAUGAGAAUUCAUUGUGGCACUCAGGACGUUGUGGAUUAGGGAAUGAAAAGAAAGAAAGGGGCAUUUUCACUGGCAUUCUUAAUUCAUGAUCCAACUGGGGCUCUUUAAAGCAGUAGCCUGAUCCCAAGGCUGCCUGCAGCUCAGUCCCCUGCCCCUGCUCACAGGCCAGUUCUGGGGCUGCUCUCUCUGGAGAGCCGGGGUACAGAGCCAGGAGCCCCGACUGCAUCAUCCCGAACUUACUUAAGUUCUGCACAUUCUUUUAGAAUUUCAUUAUCUGGACUGCAUGGGCGAGACCAGGGUAAACUACUCCACAACAGUGGAGAGCCACGGGGGUGAACAAAAAAGAGGCAUGAAGAGCUUUGGAAAAUGUUUGGCAUGUAUUUGGUUAUGUGUUUAAUUUUUUUAAAAAUAACAACCAGAUGAAAUCCUUAAAGGCAUGACUUUUAAAGUUAUUCUUCAGACCAUGACAUGAAGGACUCAAGGUGUGAAGCCACAAUGUUUUUCAACUACAGCAACAAUAAAUUUCUUAAUAGGCAUUCAAGUUCAAGAAGCUUCUUACUCCAGCAGAAUGAAGUAAAACCUGCUGGAAAGCCCUAGCCCUUUAACCUUCUUCAGCUAAGUCUUCCAUUUCACUCAAGGGAUGUGAUACUUAUAUUAAGAGAGGAAUGAUUUGAAUGUUCAGACAUUACUGUGUGACCCUCCAAUGAGUUCUUCCGAUGGGCUAAUAACUCAGUAGGUGCUAGACUUCUGUGUACGUGAAAGUUGCUGUCAAGAGCUGUCUACUCAAAACCAUGUUCGCAGUGGCUUAUGGGAAAGUUAAGGGAUCUUCAAAGUGAAUUUGAAUUAUCUAUGACCUUUGCUUAGCACUUGAACUUAACCUCCCACACAAAAACUGACUCUUUUUUUCCUCCCUCCCUCCAUUUCUACCUCCCUGCCUUACUUUUUUUUUUUUUUUUUUUCUUCCUUUCUUUCUUCUUUCCCUCCCUUCUUGGUAAAUUAAAUUCCAUAGGGGUAUGUGUGUGUGUGUGAAAUUAAAAUAGUGAUGUCUAUUUAUAUUCAAAUCAGAAAGCUACUAGCAUGCUGACUAUUCAGAUCUCUUAGAGGAAAAAAAAAAUUCUGUAAAAGUGUAUGUGAAUUCCCCAUCCUGUGUUUCUACUCAGCUUUCUGUCUUCGAUUUCUCAUUUUUAGCUGGAAAAGUGUACCAGCCAAAAGGCAGCCAGGUUCUCCAUGCGGCAAAGCAUAUCAAACCAUCUGUAGAUAAAAAAAGUAACGUUUUGGCUUAAAAGCCACCUUCUGAUACAAGACAGAGAGAAGAUGAUGGUGACGGAGACAGUAGAGUCGAUGGCAUAUUGUUACUAAGAAUUUGAAAAGAUUUUUCCCACAAAUAAAUCAAGAUAUUCCAUAAUGGUUAAGACCUACGUGAUACAAACAUGUGCAUUUUCUCAAAAAUCGAAAGAAAUUAGACAAGAUACCCAAGAAGUUGGAUUAUGAAGUAGGAGUGCCAGUGAAACUCCUGAAAGUAAUUUAAACAUUGGCAUAGACAUGUUUCAUGCUUCCUUUAUAGCUCUCUCAUGGAAGAGUAACUUAACCUGCAUUUUUGCCAUGUGACAUCAACCCCAUACACUUACUUCUAUCAUUUCUGACCAAUAAAAGUGAAAGUAACUGAAGCCAGUAAAGAAGCCUUUUUUUUUUUUUUUUUUUUUUUUUUUUUGCCAUUGUUAAAGUUAAGCUGGCACAUGUGAGAGCUUUUGUAUUGCCAGAAUUUAGGAAACAAACAAACAACACUUUGGCUUGAGUGAAAGGUCUUUGAGGCAAAUGGCCAUGGAGGAAAAGUUGCAAAAAAAAAAAAAAAAAUCUAAGUUCAUCACCAAACACUUUUAGACAACCAUGUAAAAAAUUUCACAGAGAAUUUAAGGUGCAAGGUAGAUACAAAAAAUAGGGUGUGAUGAAAACAAUUGAUGAAAACAAUGAAUUAAGAGCAGUAAUUGAAGGGAGUUCCUGUCGUGGCUCAGUGUUUGCUGAACCCGACUAAGAUCCAUGAGGACGCAGGUUCGCUCUCUGGCCUGGUUCAGUGAGUUAAGGAUUCAGUGGUGCUGUGGUGUAGGUCGCAGAAGCAGCUCAGAUCCCGUGUGGCUGUGGUUGUGGUGUAGGCCGGUGGCAAUAGCUCCGGUUGGACCCCUAGCCUGGGAACCUCCAUAUGCCACAGAUGCGGCCCUAAAAAGCCAAAAAAAAAAAAAA